GGGUGUAGCUCAGUGGUAGAGUGUGUGCUUAGCAAAUGCAUGAAGUCCUGGGUUCAAUCCCCAGUACGUCCA
RNAcentral lists this transfer RNA (72 nucleotides) under Camelus bactrianus (Bactrian camel). It matches the Rfam family "tRNA". Rfam says of the family: Transfer RNA (tRNA) molecules are approximately 80 nucleotides in length. Their secondary structure includes four short double-helical elements and three loops (D, anti-codon, and T loops). The record is from Rfam by way of RNAcentral. RNAcentral also lists the same sequence under 1 other name. Lineage: Eukaryota; Metazoa; Chordata; Mammalia; Artiodactyla; Camelidae.